UUAGUUUGAUUUCUGGCUCAGGACGAACGCUGGCGGCGUGCCUAAUACAUGCAAGUAGAACGCUGAGAACUGGUGCUUGCACCGGUUCAAGGAGUUGCGAACGGNCUGNAGUAACGCGUAGGUAACCUACCUCAUAGCGGGGGAUAACUAUUGGAAACGAUAGCUAAUACCGCAUAAGAGAGACUAACGCAUGUUAGUAAUUUAAAAGGGGCAAUUGCUCCACUAUGAGAUGGACCUGCGUUGUAUUAGCUAGUUGGUGAGGUAAAGGCUCACCAAGGCGACGAUACAUAGCCGACCUGAGAGGGUGAUCGGCCACACUGGGACUGAGACACGGCCCAGACUCCUACGGGAGGCAGCAGUAGGGAAUCUUCGGCAAUGGGGGCAACCCUGACCGAGCAACGCCGCGUGAGUGAAGAAGGUUUUCGGAUCGUAAAGCUCUGUUGUUAGAGAAGAAUGAUGGUGGGAGUGGAAAAUCCACCAAGUGACGGUAACUAACCAGAAAGGGACGGCUAACUACGUGCCAGCAGCCGCGGUAAUACGUAGGUCCCGAGCGUUGUCCGGAUUUAUUGGGCGUAAAGCGAGCGCAGGCGGUUUUUUAAGUCUGAAGUUAAAGGCAUUGGCUCAACCAAUGUACGCUUUGGAAACUGGAGAACUUGAGUGCAGAAGGGGAGAGUGGAAUUCCAUGUGUAGCGGUGAAAUGCGUAGAUAUAUGGAGGAAACACCCGGUGGCGAAAGCGGCUCUCUGGUUCUGUAACUGACGCUGAGGCUCGAAAGCGUGGGGAGCAAACAGGAUUAGAUACCUGGGGUAGU
RNAcentral lists this ribosomal RNA (810 nucleotides) under Streptococcus pyogenes. Its description in RNAcentral is "bacterial SSU rRNA". It matches the Rfam family "Bacterial small subunit ribosomal RNA", at positions 1 to 794 of the family's 1533-position model. The record is from RNAcentral. Lineage: Bacteria; Bacillati; Bacillota; Bacilli; Lactobacillales; Streptococcaceae.